AUUUCUAUUACGUUUAAUUCGGCGCUUACGUGAGUGUAUUCAAUGCUGCUGUAAUCAGGCAGCCUCGCUGUGUUCUCAUUGUUGCUUCUAUUGUUUCAGCAAAGGAUAACCAGAAGCAGACAUUUAAAACAGCUACUGACAGGAAGUCCCUUCACCAAUAUCAGAGUGGCUGACUAUGGGACAGUGAAGAUUUGGGGGGUCACUGGAUAGCUGCUGUGACUUUAAUAAGUGAGCCCCAGCUUCCUCUGCAAAUUGGGGAUAGUAGCAACUUCAGAAGAAGCCUACUGUGGUGUGUACAUGGUGAUGAACUCCAUAAUCCCACCAUUUUGGCAAGCUGAAGCAGGAAAAUGGCAAGUUUGAGACCAGCCUGGGCUACAUAAUAAGUAAGACUCUACCUCAAACCAAAUAAAACCGCUUAUUUUGAAGACACUCCCAUGGUCUUUUCAAGGUUCAUCAAACAAGCAGCAGGGACAGGAAUCGGUUUCUCAGUCUGGGAGAAUAAUUUCUGAUAGUAAUAUUCCAGCCCAGGUGAACCUUCAACCAGAGGAUUAUCUCUGGGGGGACAAAGGAGGAAAGAGAGGGCAAGGUAAGCGAGACAGCAUGCAGCCUGUGCCUCAGCCACCAGGAGGUGACCUCU
RNAcentral lists this long non-coding RNA (637 nucleotides) under Mus spicilegus (steppe mouse). RNAcentral describes it as "lncRNA (ENSMSIG00000021422.1)". Lineage: Eukaryota; Metazoa; Chordata; Mammalia; Rodentia; Muridae. The record is from RNAcentral.